RNAcentral lists this transfer RNA (73 nucleotides) under Klebsiella pneumoniae. Its description in RNAcentral is "tRNA-Val". It matches the Rfam family "tRNA". From Rfam's summary of the family: Transfer RNA (tRNA) molecules are approximately 80 nucleotides in length. Their secondary structure includes four short double-helical elements and three loops (D, anti-codon, and T loops). The record is from RNAcentral. RNAcentral also lists the same sequence under 1 other name. Lineage: Bacteria; Pseudomonadati; Pseudomonadota; Gammaproteobacteria; Enterobacterales; Enterobacteriaceae.
GGGUGAUUAGCUCAGCUGGGAGAGCACCUCCCUUACAAGGGGGUCGGCGGUUCGAUCCCGUCAUCACCCACCA